UACGAAGGGUGCAAGCGUUACUCGGAAUUACUGGGCGUAAAGCGUGCGUAGGUGGUCGUUUAAGUCCGUUGUGAAAGCCCUGGGCUCAACCUGGGAAUUGCAGUGGAUACUGGGCGACUAGAGUGUGGUAGAGGGUAGCGGAAUUCCCGGUGUAGCAGUGAAAUGCGUAGAGAUCGGGAGGAACAUCCGUGGCGAAGGCGGCUACCUGGGCCAACACUGACACUGAGGCACGAAAGCGUGGGGAGCAAACAGGAUUAGAUACCCUGGUAGUCCACGCCCUAAACGAUGCGAACUGGAUGUUGGGUUCAACUUGGAACCCAGUAUCGAAGCUAACGCGUUAAGUUCGCCGCCUGGGGAGUACGGUCGCAAGACUGAA
RNAcentral lists this ribosomal RNA (376 nucleotides) under uncultured bacterium. RNAcentral's name for it is "bacterial SSU rRNA". It matches the Rfam family "Bacterial small subunit ribosomal RNA", at positions 524 to 898 of the family's 1533-position model. The record is from RNAcentral.